RNAcentral lists this long non-coding RNA (707 nucleotides) under Polistes fuscatus (common paper wasp). RNAcentral describes it as "uncharacterized LOC122513808, transcript variant X3". Lineage: Eukaryota; Metazoa; Arthropoda; Insecta; Hymenoptera; Vespidae. The record is from RNAcentral.
CCGGGUCGCCUCCUGCACUGACCCUCCGCGCGUCUCUCCUUCCAUUUUUUGGGGAAUUUUAUUUGUUUUCUUCUGUCUAUUUGUUUCUCUCUUCCUUCUUUCCUGUUUAUUUUUCUUUCUUUCCUUUUUUUUUUAAACCGACUCGAUCCGAAUCACCUACGACAACUUUCGGAAAAUCUCUAUUCUUAUAUAAAAAAAGAUACUGAUUUGUUUUGGAUCAUUUCAACGGCUAGUAAGAAAGAGAAUAAGGGUAAGAGUAAGAGAAAGAGAAAGAGAAAGAGAAAGGGAAAGGGAAAGAAAAAAAAGAAGAAGAAAAAGAGAAAGAGAGACAUACGUAUCAGUUAGAUCUUAUUCCUUCGAAGAUCUUCAAACUUGUGAACAACUUCGUGCGUUUCGCGCCACCCCGAAAUCAGCCGAACAUGACCGAAGGCCAAAAGAGGAUGAGAAGAGAGGAGGAGAGGGUUGGUAAGAGGGGAAGUUGGCACUCUUGGAGACCAGAAAGAAAUAAGAGUGAGAGAGAUAGAAAUAUUAAAAAGAAGGGGCGAGAGAGAGAGAGAGAAAUAGACAAACAGAUAGACAGACUAAACCAAGAGAUAAAUCCUACGCACGACCUACAACAAUGCCAUGGAGUUUCUGCUGCAGCUGAUUUCACGACCAACCAACCAACCGGCCAUUCCGCUACCCGGAAUUCCACCGUUCUCCGGAAG